GACGAACGCUGGCGGCGUGCUUAACACAUACAAGUCGAACGGAAAGGCCCUGCUUUUGUGGGGUGCUCGAGUGGCGAACGGGUGAGUAACACGUGAGUAACCUGCCCUUGACUUUGGGAUAACUUCAGGAAACUGGGGCUAAUACCGGAUAGGAGCUCCUGCUGCAUGGUGGGGGUUGGAAAGUUUCGGCGGUUGGGGAUGGACUCGCGGCUUAUCAGCUUGUUGGUGGGGUAGUGGCUUACCAAGGCUUUGACGGGUAGCCGGCCUGAGAGGGUGACCGGCCACAUUGGGACUGAGAUACGGCCCAGACUCCUACGGGAGGCAGCAGUGGGGAAUAUUGCACAAUGGGCGGGAGCCUGAUGCAGCAACGCCGCGUGCGGGAUGACGGCCUUCGGGUUGUAAACCGCUUUCGCCUGUGACGAAGCGUGAGUGACGGUAAUGGGUAAAGAAGCACCGGCUAACUACGUG
Molecule: ribosomal RNA, 468 nt
Filed under: uncultured bacterium
Lineage: Bacteria
Description: partial 16S ribosomal RNA
Rfam family: Bacterial small subunit ribosomal RNA
Source: RNAcentral